GAUGAACGCUGGCGGCGUGCCUAAUACAUGCAAGUCGAGCGAACAGACGAGGAGUUUGCUCCUCUGACGUUAGCCGCAGACGGGUGUGUAACAUGUGGAUAACCUACCUAUAAGACUGGGAUAACUUCGGGAAACCGGAGCUAAUACCGGAUAAUAUAUUGAACCGCAUGGUUCAAUAGUGAAAUACGGUUUUGCUGUCACUUAUAGAUGGAUCCGCGCCGCAUUAGCUAGUUGGUAAGGUAACGGCUUACCAAGGCAACGAUGCGUAGCCGACCUGAGAGGGUGAUCGGCCACACUGGAACUGAGACACGGUCCAGACUCCUACGGGAGGCAGCAGUAGGGAAUCUUCCGCAAUGGGCGAAAGCCUGACGGAGCAACGCCGCGUGAGUGAUGAAGGUCUUCGGAUCGUAAAGCUCUGUUAUUCGGGAAGAACAAAUGUGUAAGUAACUAUGCACGUCUUGACGGUACCUGAUCAGAAAGCAACGGCUAACUACGUG
RNAcentral lists this ribosomal RNA (497 nucleotides) under uncultured bacterium. RNAcentral's name for it is "partial 16S ribosomal RNA". It matches the Rfam family "Bacterial small subunit ribosomal RNA", at positions 28 to 507 of the family's 1533-position model. The record is from RNAcentral.